Molecule: microRNA precursor, 194 nt
Filed under: Oryza glumipatula
Lineage: Eukaryota; Viridiplantae; Streptophyta; Magnoliopsida; Poales; Poaceae
Description: MIR812 microRNA precursor family
Rfam family: MIR812 microRNA precursor family (bases 1-174)
Source: Rfam by way of RNAcentral
UUUAAACGAAACCAUGAGUUUUCUGUCUAACUUUGAUCAUCGUCUUAUUUAGAAUUUUUUUAUGAUUAGUGUUUUUAUUGUUAUUGGAUGAUAAAACAUAAAUAGUGAUUUAUGCAUGACAUAUUUUUUUUAAAAAAAAUCAUUUUUAAAAUAAAACGGAAGAUUAAAGAUGGAAUUUCAACUUUAAACGGACG